GGGAUGAGAGGAGUAGGUCUGCAUAGCCUGGUCUAAAAACGGCACAAACAGAUCUGGGACCAGGCUAUGGUCAUCAAGCAUCGAUGCUGGCUCUGGGCUGGGGUUUGGGAAAUGUAUGAAAUUAGAGACUUUCAUGGAUCUGAUAAUCUCUUGGCCUGGUCCCGUGGCCUGGGUCCCGUGGCCUGGUCCCGUGGCCAAGGUCCCGUGGCCUAGGUCCCGUGGCCUGGUCUCAUAUCUGCUUGUGUCUUGUCAACUCCUAUGGUUGUUGUUAUUGCUGUUUGGCCUGACCAUGACCAUAGGAGUUGGGUAACAGAGCACAAACCAAUCAGGGACCAGGAUCCGGUCAUCAAUCAACAACACUCUCUCUGGGCUGGUGUUUAGGACGUUUAUAAAGUUGGUGCUUUCAGCCCUAUCUUCUCCCCUCUUUGAUCUCUCUCUCUCUCUACCUCCCCCCCUCUCUCCCUCCCUCCCUCUCUGCCUCCCGAGUGGCCUCCCAGUGCUAGAGGCGUCACUACAGACCCUGG
This 524-nucleotide long non-coding RNA is filed under the name Salmo salar (Atlantic salmon). Its description in RNAcentral is "lncRNA (ENSSSAG00000113535.1)". Lineage: Eukaryota; Metazoa; Chordata; Actinopteri; Salmoniformes; Salmonidae. The record is from RNAcentral.